AGUGAACGCUGGCGGUAGGCCUAACACAUGCAAGUCGAACGGCAGCACAGUAAGAGCUUGCUCCUACGGGUGGCGAGUGGCGGACGGGUGAGGAAUACAUCGGAAUCUACUUUUUCGUGGGGGAUAACGUAGGGAAACUUACGCUAAUACCGCAUACGACCUACGGGUGAAAGCAGGGGAUCUUCGGACCUUGCGCGAUUGAAUGAGCCGAUGUCGGAUUAGCUAGUUGGCGGGGUAAAGGCCCACCAGGGCGACGAUCCGUAGCUGGUCUGAGAGGAUGAUCAGCCACACUGGAACUGAGACACGGUCCAGACUCCUACGGGAGGCAGCAGUGGGGAAUAUUGGACAAUGGGCGCAAGCCUGAUCCAGCCAUACCGCGUGGGUGAAGAAGGCCUUCGGGUUGUAAAGCCCUUUUGUUGGGAAAGAAAAGCAGCAGGUUAAUACCCCGCUGUUCUGACGGUACCCAAAGAAUAAGCACCGGCUAACUUCGUG
This 492-nucleotide ribosomal RNA is filed under the name uncultured bacterium. RNAcentral describes it as "partial 16S ribosomal RNA". It matches the Rfam family "Bacterial small subunit ribosomal RNA", at positions 29 to 507 of the family's 1533-position model. The record is from RNAcentral.